CUGAUUAUUCGCGCCACACCUUAUCCGGUGGGUUAGCGCGCGUUCUUCAGUCGCCAAUGAAACCCGCCCUUGAGGCGGGUUCU
This 83-nucleotide small RNA is filed under the name Dyella sp. AD56. RNAcentral's name for it is "Pseudomonas sRNA P9". It matches the Rfam family "Pseudomonas sRNA P9". From Rfam's summary of the family: P9 appears to be conserved in several Pseudomonas species in addition to Bordetella spp. The record is from Rfam by way of RNAcentral. Lineage: Bacteria; Pseudomonadati; Pseudomonadota; Gammaproteobacteria; Lysobacterales; Rhodanobacteraceae.